RNAcentral lists this long non-coding RNA (305 nucleotides) under Phoenix dactylifera (date palm). Its description in RNAcentral is "long non-coding RNA (PDAC_LNC006483)". The record is from RNAcentral. Lineage: Eukaryota; Viridiplantae; Streptophyta; Magnoliopsida; Arecales; Arecaceae.
UCCUACUCUAGUCUCUAGGGUACAUCUAACAGGUGUAGAUUCUAGUAUUGAUGUAAACUCCUUAAACAACUGUCUCUCCAUAGGAUGCCAGCAUAAAAUGCAUUAUUAUCUCAAGCAAGAAGAGUGAUGACCCUAGUAGAAUCAUAUGACAAGAAUUUUAAUUAAUUUUUCAAAGUUAUCAAACACAAAAUUUAAGGCUUGUUUGGCAUCGCUUUUACUUCUUAUUUAUCUAAUUUUAAAAACAAAAUUACAAUUUUUCUUGUUUAUUUCUAAAAAUAAUUUUAUUAUUUUUGAAAAAAAUGAAA